RNAcentral lists this long non-coding RNA (1731 nucleotides) under Anas platyrhynchos platyrhynchos (common mallard). RNAcentral's name for it is "lncRNA (ENSAPLG00000023374.1)". Lineage: Eukaryota; Metazoa; Chordata; Aves; Anseriformes; Anatidae. The record is from RNAcentral.
AGAGAAUACUCAUUCCUAUUGCCAUUGAAUUUCAUGUAAUUUUCCCCAAAAGAAGAGUGCGUCCAGAUAAUAUUGUGGUUCCCAACUGUGUCUUUUUGCACCUCUGGUGGGGUUUUCAAAUGGCUGGUGAGGUCGGCUGAGGUGCCAGCACCACCUUCAACUGUGCCUCGAGUCAGUCCCCUUAAAGCACCCUUGUCCAUGGUAGCCAUGGACACGAUGGUUUCUUUGUGAUGCAGAUGUUUGUUUUCAGAGGGAAAGAUGUUCAACUCUUUGAGCCUAGUUGUGCCACGGAAGGUUGGACAUGGAAAAGGUUUUCUUAAGGAAAUGGACAGAAAACAUCACCCCCUUUGGACAGGCUUCAAGGGCACAGCCCUCAUCCCUGGGGAUUGGCAUCGGACUUGGGUAUCUGUGUGGGGUAUGAUGAAUCCCACUCAAAGCUGAUAAAUACAGGUGGGACCGUCCACAGACCAGAUCACAGAGCUGAUCCCCACAUGGUUAUCACCAGUGGCAUCCAGCAUUUGGGGACCCAACAGGAAAGCCACAAGGGCUGAUGUGCCACCGUUUCACCCACCUUCCAAAAUGCAGCAGGCUCAGGUGUCCAAGAAUUUCCAAGAAAAUCCAAACAGUGACAUCCAGGAGCAGCAAGCCAUGGCCUGAGGAAGGUGGGCAGAGGAGUGUCUGAGAGUGGCUGCCAUCAGAAAACCUGCAUCACCUGGGAGCCUCAUGGGUGGGAAAACCUCAGACCCACUUGUUAGGCAGAGGACAAAGGCUGAUGAAGGCAGGCAGCACCCCAGCAACGAUCAAGUCCAACCUACGGCUCCAGGUCCACCAGAAGCAACCAGCAUGUCAUGGACAGGUCAAGCAGCACUGGAUGGGGGCUUGUUUUCAGGGCUCUGUGUCUGCAGGAAAGGGACUUGUUGUCCCUCAGGAGGGAGAAGUGCCCGAGGGAAGCCGUAUUCCUCCCCUCCAUCAAGGGGAGCACGAAUAUCCACACAGUUCUGGGGUGUUUAACAUCAAACGGAGAGAGAAUUAAAGUGCUUGUGUCUGUGGCUGCUUUACACAUUAGCUUUUGACAGGAUGAAAACAUAACCCACUGUUUUUGCCUUUAUAAGCGAUACUUGGCUUUUUCUGCUCCCAAGCUUGUCUGCUGUGCAGCGUAUUUCUUCUGCUGAUAAAUAUUUAUGCUCCAUGAUUUUGAUUUAUACGAAGGGCUUAAAUAUCGUAAAGCUGGAUAUAACCAGCAUAAAAUAACAUAAAACAAAGCACUAGUAUCCAGAAUGGGGUGGACUAAAAAGGCAUGGCUCCCAUGGCAGCCAAAUUUUGCCCCAGAAAUGACCUCUUUCCCCCCAAGAAUGGCACAACUUGGCAGCUUCCCCCUCUCUGCAUUACAAUUGAGAUUCCAAAACUGUGUGUAUCAAACAGGAAAGGUGUUUGCAGUAUUGCCAAGGUUACUAGAGUGAAAACAUUGCAAAUGUCAUUUGCAUGAUUGUACUUUCAAAUCCUAACUUGUAGCAACAGUGCAUUUUAAAUGAAGGUGAUUUAUAACUCCAACCAGAACACUAAUCAUAUUUUGGAGUAAUAGGAUUUAUUUGUUGGUUGUUUGGUGGUUGUGUUCUUUAAGCUCAGAGACAACAAGCUAUGUUCAUGAAAAGGGACAUGGCUGGGCUUAAACCCUACCCCAACAACAUUUUGAAAGGAUUAGAAAAUAAACACGAAUGAACUCUAUUUUCA